This 929-nucleotide ribosomal RNA is filed under the name uncultured Alphaproteobacteria bacterium. Its description in RNAcentral is "bacterial SSU rRNA". It matches the Rfam family "Bacterial small subunit ribosomal RNA", at positions 1 to 883 of the family's 1533-position model. Lineage: Bacteria; Pseudomonadati; Pseudomonadota; Alphaproteobacteria. The record is from RNAcentral.
UCAGGAAACAGCUAUCACCAUGAUUACGCCAAGCUCAGAAUUAACCCUCACUAAAGGGACUAGUCGAGCAGGUUUAAACGAAUUCGCCCUUAGAGUUUGAUCAUGGCUCAGAACGUACGCUGGCGGCACGCUUAAUACAUACAAGUCGAAUGAAGUAGCAAUACUUAGUGGCAGACGGGUGAGUAACAUGUAGGUAUCUUCCCAUUGGUGAGGAAUAACACGAGGAAACUUGUGCUAAUACCUCAUAAGUCUUUACGGAGAAAGCUUUAUGCGCCGAUGGAUGAGCGUGCACUUGAUUAGUUUGUUGGUAGGGCAAUGGCCUACCAAGACAAUGAUCAAUAGCUGAUUUGAGAGGAUGAUCAGCCACAUUGGGACUGAGACACGGCCCAAACUCAUACGGGAGGCAGCAGUAGGGAAUCUUACACAAUGGGGGAAACCCUGAUGCAGCGAUGCCGCGUGAGUGAAGAAGGCCUUUGGGUUGUAAAGCUCUUUCGUCGGGGAAGAAAAUGACUGUACCCGAAUAAGAAGGUCCGGCUAACUUCGUGCCAGCAGCCGCGGUAAUACGAAGGGACCUAGCGUAGUUCGGAAUUACUGGGCUUAAAGAGUUCGUAGGUGGUUAAAAAAGUUGGUGGUGAAAUCCCAGAGCAAAACUGGGGAAGCGCCAUCAAAACUUUUUAGCUAGAGUAUGAUAGAGGAAAGCAGAAUUUAUAGUGUAGAGGUGAAUUUUGUAGAUAUUAGAAAGAAUACCAAGUCUGACGAAGGCAUGCUUUGCGUGGCAUCAUUACAUGACAGCUGAGGAGACGAAAGCAUGGGUAGCGCAGAGGAUUAGAUCCCCUCGUAGUCCACGCCGUAAACGAUGUGUGUUAGACGGGGAAAUUUAUUUUCGGUGUCGCAGCGAAAGCAAAAACAGCACCGGUCUUGGGGACCGA